Schizosaccharomyces pombe (fission yeast) is the source of this 1779-nucleotide non-coding RNA. The record is from the annotation of a GenBank genome assembly. Lineage: Eukaryota; Fungi; Ascomycota; Schizosaccharomycetes; Schizosaccharomycetales; Schizosaccharomycetaceae.
AUCAAAAUUAGGAGACUAGAAUCGAUGGAUCAGAGUCUUUUUCAUCUAUGAGCGUCUAUAAAAGUUGGAAUGAGAAAACGAUAGACAAUGAAGAAAAAAUUAUUUUUACCAUACUUUGACUAGAUAUUGUGGGUCAUAUGUUUAAUUAACGAAGAGAUAUUACUUUAUUCUACUUGUGCAUGUGCUUUUUCAACCCUUAGGGCUGUCAAUGAUAGCAAGGUGCUAUAACCUUAUUAUCAGCGUAUUGAUUCAAGAAAUAGUCCUACCAACUCUUAGUACACGCCAAUAUCAGUUGAUGAUUCUUUCGAACAAACUUUCAAAGGACUUUAUAAUAGCUAGUCGUUAAAUUUUACUAAAGACAGUUUGUCAAUAUGAUCAUUUAAGGCCGGAAGGAAACUUCUACAUGACAAUAUGUAGCUUCUCAAAAAAGGAGCAACUUUAUCUAAUCCCAACUAAAUGAACUCUUGAUGCUUGUACUCUUGAAUAUUCACGUUAUCUAUUUCUCAUGAUAUUUAAGCAACAUAUUAACGCGAGGAAUUUUAGUAAGUGUUUAUCAUUUCAAUUGUCCGAGGGUAUACGAAGGUUACAUAUAUAUCAUUGGUGUUUGUCAUAAAACAAAAGAGAUUUCAUAAUAUUAAAUACCUUUGCCUUUAACGCCCACCACUAUUUUUAAUCAACUGCUCUUACUUACAAACGGAAAUCUAUAAUAAAGCUUCUUUUAUUUACCAACAUUGGACACUAAUAAAUGCAAAAAUAAAAGUCCACGUUGAAACCUUUCAAAAUGAAGUAAGACAGCUUAAAAAAGGCGCCUUUCACUUUACGUAGAAAAUUACUUAUUUGCAUAUGAAAAGCAAAAAGCAAAAAACAAAUCUGAUAGCACAUCGAAAAGGCCGCAAAAGGCACUGUAUAUCUUACCUCGCUUAUGCUGAUGUUAAUAUUUAACCGAAAGUUAGUUUGGCAAAGAUACCAAUGUCUCUCUUUUUACAUUGGAAAUAUUUACUUUUCACACUACAAAUAUUGCUUAAUGUUGUUGAGAUUCAUUAUUUUCAUUUGAGAAAAAUUGACAGGAAUUGCUUUAAUCGUCGUAGCUUCUCUGACAGCUGGUCAAGCAUCAUUAUAUUUGCAAUUGCCAAACAGAAAUGUUUGAUUAUUUAAAACAGUAGAAGAUAAAUAAGAGUUGAUCGUUUUAACAUAAAAAAUUAACAAUCUGGCAUUCCAUGGUGACUAUAUUUUCAGAUAUUUGAGGAUAAUAUAUAAAAGUUAGAUCUCAUGAGAUCAUUGUUGGAGUUGGAUAGGUAAAACAAAAACUUCAAUCUCCAAUCUCUAUCAAAAUUUCUGAACAACUAAUCAAAACUUUCCGUUUCACCUCCCAUCUCGAACACACGCUCGGUUUGGCUCGCCAAAAGGCUACAAUGUUUCAACAAUAUAUAUGCACAAAGAUGAGUAGUUUAAUUUCAAACAACUGCCUUGAAGACUAUAUAAAUAAAAUUUAUUUUUGACAGUUUAUAUAUGCUAUUUUCUGUAGAAAAAUAAUAACACCAAGUUAAUCAACAAAAGAGCUUUUUGUGAGUCCUUUUUCCACGUUCAUUUACAAAACUCGUUAUAUUAUAUCCACUCUCGCUUUCGAUUACCAAAUCUAAUUGAUUUAUUUUAAGCGUAGUUAUAAAUAAGAUAAAUACGAGUGUAGAGGAUUGGGAUUACUAAAAGACUGAAGAAGGAAAGAAACAGACUUUAUUGCAAACAAACAAAGCACAUCUGCUCAGCCUCUAUAUUGCUCAC